AAUUAUAAGAUUGUAUGACAUAUGUUUAGUUCAUGAUCCAUUAGUCACUGAGUUAAUUAGACUGAAAAAGCAUAGGAAGAAAAUGAUUUUAAUCCAUACGUUGCGAUCAUCUAGAAUUUCAGCCAUAUUCUUUGGGAGUUGGGACCAUGGCACCAUGUAGCGAAAGCCCAUACGUGGAAAUUUGAAAACAACCAUUCAUCCCAAAAAAAUAAAAAUGAAGAAGCUUUUCUUUUAGAUUUUACCUUUUUACCUUCUGCUUUAAAAAUGUAUAUAUUUUAUUUAUAUAUAAAAGGAAUACUUUUUAUCAAAUAUAAAAAGAAAUAAUAAUGCUAUUAUUUAGAAGAAAAAAAUGAUCAAAGUUCACUGAUUUCGGCUGCGCUGUCAGUUGUAGUUACAAUUCUUUUUUUCUCACAAUUAUUUCUUAUGAAUAUUGCAUAUCUAUUGCGCUGGACAUAGUCAUCGAUCUAUUGGAAUCUCCUUUUGAAAUAAAAACAAAAAAUGAAAAGCGACGAAAUGAUGGAAGGUGGGUCGUGGGGGUACUCUAUAAUUAGAUUCAUGUGGUUCUCUAUUCGUUGCAUAUUCUUUUGCAUCGUUCAUUCUUGAUUAAACAUAUACUUAUAUUUUUGUUAUCUAGAUUCUCUACAUAAAUAAUGUUUUUCUUUUUUGUACAAACAGAUAGAUAAUGUUUUACCUUAUUACCAAAACUCAGGGUGGCCGAUGCAAGCCAUGCCAUAUGUUCAAAGUGAAAAAAAAUUCGACCAAAUUCGAGAUCAUUUUAGCACUUUCAAUUCUUAGUUUAUUUAGCCUAAAAUAUAUUUAAGAUGAAAACAUCUCUUUAUAAGAAGAUAGAUGAAGUUAUCCUCUAUUUUGAUGAUUACAUAAGAUUUAUGUCUUUCUUUUCUGUACAUGUUAUAGUAUAAUUAUGUUUUCUUUAUUUUCUGAUGUGUAUAUUCCUUGCUAUGUGUGAACAGUAUCCUAAUUGGAUCUUAGGGAAAUAUAGGAAGCUGAUACACGGUUGGUUACUAGAGUCUAGAUGAUGAUGUUAGUACCUAAGAAUGUCUUCAAUAAUUUGGAUCGACUUUGGUGUACCUUCUCAACCAUAGUUUUCUAUCUAAUUAUCCCCUAAGUUUUAGGUUAAUCACUAUACUACUCGGAUUUAGAAAGUUUAUCACUAUACCACAUUGAUUUACUGUUUGGUUCGAAGCAUAUAUCUUUUCCUACUGCAUGGCUUGAAGUCAUGGACCAUUAUAAUACCCAGUAAAUCAAUAGUCAAGAAAACAAAUGCAGACAAUGAAAACCGCUACAAAUUGAACCCCUAAAAUCAGAAGUGUAUUCAGGAAAUCAACAGUCUCUGCUCGGCCUUCCUGUGGUCUGGCCCGAUGAUGUCUUCGCAGAAAGCAAAAAUUGCAUGGUCUGAUGUUUGUUCUCCAAAAGAAGAAGGCGGUCUAGGUUUGAGACCUCUUGAGGAGGUUAACAGGGUCUCUUGUCUGAAGUUGAUCUGGCGCAUUGUCUCGUGUAGAUCAUCUUUAUGGGUUCAACGAAUUAAAAAACAUAUUACCAUAAAGAGUUUUUUUUGGAGUGUAAAAGCUUCAAGCUCUUUGGACUCCUGGAUGUGGAAGAAGUUGUUAAAGCUCAGGCCUCUUUCUCAGCAGUUCCAUUGAGUAGAAGUAAAUGAUGGCUCAACUACCUCCUUUUGGUAUGACAAUUGGUCUCAGCUAGGGGUGAUGAUCAAUUUAACUGGUGAAAGGGGUUCCAUUGCGUUAGGGAUUCCUAUAAAUGCAACGGUGGAGAGAGUGCUGCAAACCUAUCGGAGGCGCAGACUUAGAACCUAUGUACUGUUAUUAAUCAAGCAGGAGAUUCUGAGGCUUCAAGCUCUCUGGCCAAACCAACAGAAGGACUCUGUUCUUUGGAAGCAGGAGAUUGAUGAUUUCAGGGAGGGUUUCAGCUCAUCUCAAACCUGGAAAUUAACCAGGAUGCAGGGGCCCAACGUCUCUUGGGUAGAGGGAAUCUGGUUCAAAGAAGCUAUUCCUAAAUUCUCUUUUCUCACUUGGUUAGCGGCUCAUAACAGAUUAUCACUACAAGAAAUAUGUACAUUCUUAGCUCACGAAAAACGCUAUAGUAAGCCUUACAUAGCGUUUUCUCAUAUGCUAUGUCAUCGGCAGCAAUCAUAGAUACCACCUCUAUGAUAGCAUUUUUAAAAUGUUGCGAAAUGUGUAGAUACUAUAGCAAUACUUGAAUGUUGUUGUUAACUUUAAUUAUAGCACUGUUUUUUUGUUACAAAUUGAUUGUGAUUCGUAUAUUCGUGCUAUAAUAGGUUUUUUGUACAAUAAACCACAAAUAAUUAUAAUUAAAAAUAAAUAAUCAAAAAUUAAACUGAAA
Molecule: long non-coding RNA, 2379 nt
Organism: Brassica napus (rape)
Lineage: Eukaryota; Viridiplantae; Streptophyta; Magnoliopsida; Brassicales; Brassicaceae
Exons: 2
Source: RefSeq, a predicted model, not a curated record